AUUGACUUUGCUUUAAACUAUUGCCACCUGUAAGCAAACUAUCUCCACCUGUCAAAAAUAAAAGAAUGAGGAAGGGUUCAAUUGUUCUUUUACUAAACUACCCUCAACGUUGUUAAUAUGUCUAAUUGACGAGUUAAGUUAAGGACUUGAAUGACAUUAGUUUAUACUUGAAAGGAUUUAAUUGAUUCAUUUAGUAAACUUCUGGUCUCUGAAUUUUUUUCUAAAAAUAAUGAGGACUCAAUUAGAAAUUACCCUUUAACUAAUGUUAAAAUUAUAAUAUUUUCUACUCACAUAUACAAAUAAAAUUAUAUUUAGCGCCUUACAAUCUUUUUAUUUAUUAUUUUUCAUAAGUAUUAAAGUAUUUAUUUGUUAGUAUCCAAGAUAUAUUAAUCAACACAAAACACUAAUAUAAAUAAAAAGACAACAAUACCCUUAAAUCUCUCUUCUUCCCACCGUUGUCUCCAUCAUCAUUACACCCACCUUCAUCUUCCUCCAUCAUUAUCAUCUUCACCUACAUCUUCACAGUUUUUAAGAAGAAGAAGAAAAUAUUAUUAUGCUUUCAGAUCCAAAAUCGGCAAAACCCAUAAAAAGAAAAAGAAAAAGAAAAAGAAAAAGAAGAUGAUGAUAAUAUUUUGUCUUCGGAACCAAAAUCAACAAAAUCCCUAAAAAGAAGAAGAAGAAGAUAUUUUUUUUUUUCAAUCUAAAAUCGGCAAAAUCCAAAAAAAAAAAAAUGAUCUUGAGGUUCAAACUAACAUUAAUAAACCCACUUCAUACUUCUUAAAAUAAAUAAUUUCCAACCUCAAAAAAGCUGCACUAUAAAAGACCUAGCUUUAUUCCAAAACCUACCCAUCAAAUUCCACUUAUCCAAUCUCUUUCUCCCUGCUUCAACAACAACUUCAGCAAGCAAAGUCCAUUGUUGCCGCGCCUUUUCAUGAGCAUAAAAGUACUUGAACUCUGCACCUUAUCUAUUUUCUUCAACAUUUUUCAGGAAGGGUAAUUUUGUCCUUCUAAGACUUAUAAACAAAUUGUAAAUGAAAAGAGUACAAGAUGCUCAAGUAAAUUUGACAAUAGUUAAAUCAUAAAAGACAAAAGUUGGGGUACGGUAUAACAAUUGCAGCAUAGGCGGAUCCUAAAGUAUGAUGGCAAUAUUCCCACGGCGGCUCAUACCCAUCGGGCCCCAAUCAAUUUGGGUUCGGUAUAGGCCUUCAAAAAAUUUUAAAAUUAAAAAUGAGUCUAUGUUAAAAAUAAACAAAAAUUUUAAAUAUAUUUUGGGUUUGGAUUCGGUGAUUUCAUCAUGCUCCCGAACUCAAACCCAAACCCGAGAUAUUUUUUCUAAAUCCAAAUAUUUUUUAAUUUUAUCAAAUAAUUAAAAAAUACUCAACACAAUGAAAAAAAAAAACAAAACCUUGGAUCUAAAACUCACAAUCUCUCUGAAAAAAACUAUCAGUCGCAUCGCCACUUCCAAGUCUCCACCAGGGCUUCGCUUCUCGGC
This 1492-nucleotide long non-coding RNA is filed under the name Citrus sinensis (sweet orange). RNAcentral describes it as "long non-coding RNA (CSIN_LNC000817)". The record is from RNAcentral. Lineage: Eukaryota; Viridiplantae; Streptophyta; Magnoliopsida; Sapindales; Rutaceae.